Molecule: non-coding RNA, 127 nt
Filed under: Zalophus californianus (California sea lion)
Lineage: Eukaryota; Metazoa; Chordata; Mammalia; Carnivora; Otariidae
Source: RNAcentral
GCGUUGUAUGAAAGGAGAGAAGGUUAGCAGUCCCCUUGACAAGGAUGGAAGAGGCCCUCGGGCCUGACAACACGCAUACAGUUAAGAGAAAGACAGUUCUACACCAACUGAUGAAAUACAAAUUCCU